This is a long non-coding RNA of Oreochromis aureus, 1257 nucleotides long. The record is from Ensembl. Lineage: Eukaryota; Metazoa; Chordata; Actinopteri; Cichliformes; Cichlidae.
CUUUAUUUUUUAUACUAGAAAGCAGAUUUUGAAGUAGAGAUACAGACAUCGCUAAGAAAAAUCUUUCUUCAUAUUCGGUACACUGUUCUACAGAAUUAAAGCUAUCGCCAAAGAACAUGACUUUGGCUGCUAAGAUCAUUCAAACACAACAUAGUCUCAACAAAGUCCCAGUGUCACCAAUUCAACUGUCACCUGAUGAUCAUUUGGUCUUUUGUGCGUUUUGAUUUCAACUGUGAAAAACAUUAGAAUACCUUUACAUAUAAUCAACAUUGCAGGUGUAAGAUAAACAAUUCAAAUUCAAACAAUAAGAAAAGUGUUGAAGUUGGAUAGUUUUCUAGGGAUGUUUUCUGACCUUUAGGCUCUUUAAUGUUGCAUCAACAGAUUUCAACAUUCAAUUUUUAUCUUGCAAUAAAGAAUUUUAUUUGCAAGUAAGGUACAGUUUGCAUGUUUUGCAGAAAACAACACAGUAUUAUUAUGUUUGUCUUCCUGUUUAAAAAUGAACAAAAUAGGCAAAGCAGUAAAACCAUGUAUAGAGAAGAGAGAAAGUCAUGCCUUAAAAUAUACAUUGAAUUCUUCACAGCAGUGUGCCUUCAUGUAUGGUCACUGUUGAAAAAAAGGGGGGCUUAAGAAUACUCCAACUUCCUUCACCAUAUUCAGUGUUAAACUGUUUUAAGUCAAGAGAAAUGAUCAUAGAAAUUAAAUUCAAUAUGCAUCUUUUUUUCAUAAAUAAAUCACAUAUUUUAAGACUUAAAAAUACACAACCUAUGUAAAUACCUGAGAGCCCUCAUAUCAGAAAGUUGGUAUCGAUAUCAAAGUUGUUCAAUCAGCACACAUAUAUGGAUAAAUGUUCAUUUUCAGUGCCAAAAUAUACACUGUUUGUAUACUGUUUCUUAAAAAAUACAAUGCACCCGGAACCCUGCCUUUUACAUUUUUUGUAAACAUUUUUAAAUAAAAAAAACACACAAAAUUCACAAAACUAUUUGCAACAUUUCAGCAGAAAAAUAGACAUUUACCACACUGUACAAAAACAUUCCCCCCGAUCUGUAACAAUAGCAAUAAUCGUUCAAGUAAAGUCCUCACUCACUAGGAAAGCUGACAGAAGACCCUUUUUUUUGUUAUGGUUUGUUUUUUUGUUUGUUUGUUUAUAUGGCUGCUUCAGUAAAGGAAAAAGAGUAAGACAAGAAUCUGUCAACAGAUAAGUAAAUAGUUGGAACUGUGAUAUACCUGUACCCCAAAGAAUGUUACUAAAUAUAACCU